This 615-nucleotide ribosomal RNA is filed under the name Flavobacterium sp. 12AAV. RNAcentral's name for it is "bacterial SSU rRNA". It matches the Rfam family "Bacterial small subunit ribosomal RNA", at positions 60 to 676 of the family's 1533-position model. Lineage: Bacteria; Pseudomonadati; Bacteroidota; Flavobacteriia; Flavobacteriales; Flavobacteriaceae. The record is from RNAcentral.
AGUCGAGGGGUAUUUAUCUUCGGAUAGAGAGACCGGCGCACGGGUGCGUAACGCGUAUGCAAUCUACCUUUUACAGAGGGAUAGCCCAGAGAAAUUUGGAUUAAUACCUCAUAGCAUAGCAGCUUCGCAUGAAGCCACUAUUAAAGUCACAACGGUAAAAGAUGAGCAUGCGUCCCAUUAGCUAGUUGGUAAGGUAACGGCUUACCAAGGCUACGAUGGGUAGGGGUCCUGAGAGGGAGAUCCCCCACACUGGUACUGAGACACGGACCAGACUCCUACGGGAGGCAGCAGUGAGGAAUAUUGGACAAUGGGCGCAAGCCUGAUCCAGCCAUGCCGCGUGCAGGAUGACGGUCCUAUGGAUUGUAAACUGCUUUUGUACGAGAAGAAACACUCCUAUGUAUAGGAGCUUGACGGUAUCGUAAGAAUAAGGAUCGGCUAACUCCGUGCCAGCAGCCGCGGUAAUACGGAGGAUCCAAGCGUUAUCCGGAAUCAUUGGGUUUAAAGGGUCCGUAGGCGGUUUAAUAAGUCAGUGGUGAAAGCCCAUCGCUCAACGGUGGAACGGCCAUUGAUACUGUUAAACUUGAAUUAUUAGGAAGUAACUAGAAUAUGUAGUGU